GAUGAAGAACGCAGCGAAAUGCGAUAAGUAAUGUGAAUUGCAGAAUUCAGUGAAUCAUCGAAUCUUUGAACGCACAUUGCGCCCGCCAGUAUUCUGGCGGGCAUGCCUGUUCGAGCGUCAUUACAACCCUCAGGCCCCCGGGCCUGGCGUUGGGGAUCGGCGGAAGCCCCCUGCGGGCACAACGCCGUCCCCCAAAUACAGUGGCGGUCCCGCCGCAGCUUCCAUUGCGUAGUAGCUAACACCUCGCAACUGGAGAGCGGCGCGGCCACGCCGUAAAACACCCAACUUCUCAGGUUGACCUCAGAUCAGGUAGGAAUACCCGCUGAACUUAAGCAUAUCAAUAAGCGGAGGA
RNAcentral lists this unclassified non-coding RNA (352 nucleotides) under soil metagenome. RNAcentral's name for it is "partial contains 5.8S ribosomal RNA, internal transcribed spacer 2, and large subunit ribosomal RNA". The stretch from base 1 to 120 matches the Rfam family "5.8S ribosomal RNA", at positions 35 to 154 of the family's 154-position model. The record is from RNAcentral.